Molecule: ribosomal RNA, 465 nt
Filed under: Vreelandella stevensii
Lineage: Bacteria; Pseudomonadati; Pseudomonadota; Gammaproteobacteria; Oceanospirillales; Halomonadaceae
Description: partial 16S ribosomal RNA
Rfam family: Bacterial small subunit ribosomal RNA
Source: RNAcentral
CCUACGGGGGGCAGCAGUGGGGAAUAUUGGACAAUGGGCGAAAGCCUGAUCCAGCCAUGCCGCGUGUGUGAAGAAGGCCUUCGGGUUGUAAAGCACUUUCAGUGGGGAAGAAAGCCUUGGGGCUAAUACCCUCGAGGAAGGACAUCACCCACAGAAGAAGCACCGGCUAACUCCGUGCCAGCAGCCGCGGUAAUACGGAGGGUGCGAGCGUUAAUCGGAAUUACUGGGCGUAAAGCGCGCGUAGGCGGUCUGAUAAGCCGGUUGUGAAAGCCCCGGGCUCAACCUGGGAACGGCAUCCGGAACGGUCAGGCUAGAGUGCAGAAGAGGAAGGUAGAAUUCCCGGUGUAGCGGUGAAAUGCGUAGAGAUCGGGAGGAAUACCAGUGGCGAAGGCGGCCUUCUGGACUGACACUGACGCUGAGGUGCGAAAGCGUGGGUAGCAAACAGGAUUAGAUACCCGAGUAGUC